UGACAUAAAACCAGACUUUCUUUGCUGAGCCUUUGUUGUAAAAAUCAAACGAGCAAGGCAGAGUCCUAGAAACUGAAUUUGUACAGACCUGAAGCCUGAGUUCUGUUUGGCACCGUUCUGUCUCUCCCUUUCCAAGGACCGCCUGGGUGCAGAAAAUCAAAGCUGCUUCUGAACUCUACAUAGAGACGGAGAAGAAGAAGCGGGAGAAGGCGUACCUGGUCCGUUCCCAAAGGGCCACAGGCAUUGGAAGGUUGAUGGUGAACGUGGUUGAGGGCAUUGAACUGAAACCCUGUCGGUCACACGGAAAGAGUAACCCAUACUGCGAGGUGACCAUGGGCUCCCAGUGUCACAUCACCAAGACAAUCCAGGACACUCUGAAUCCCAAGUGGAAUUCCAACUGCCAGUUCUUCAUCAAAGACCUGGAGCAGGAGGUCCUCUGCAUCACCGUGUUCGAGAGGGACCAGUUCUCUC
Aethalodelphis obliquidens (Pacific white-sided dolphin) is the source of this 471-nucleotide long non-coding RNA. RefSeq lists it as uncharacterized. The transcript is spliced from 3 exons. NCBI's taxonomy places the organism in Eukaryota, Metazoa, Chordata, Mammalia, Artiodactyla, Delphinidae. The record is from RefSeq and is a predicted model, not a curated record.